GAGAGGGAAAUUCUAAUUUUAGAAAAAAAUCCCAAGCUCUCUCACGUUUAUUUUCUUCUCUCUCUCUCGUCAAUUUCUCCAAUUUCAAUUUUGGAUUCUUUUGCUUCAGUAUCCUUUUAUUCCAUUAUUUUCUUUGUUCAUUUAUUUUUUCUUCUUUUUCAUUCACCGUUACUAUACUCCAAAAUUCUAUUAUUUUGUGGUGUCAUAUUGGUGUCAACAUAAUUGUUAGUUGCUGUUCAUUAAGGGUUUCAUUUGUCCUCUUGAUUUUCGUUUGAUCAAGUGUCGAAUCAAGUAAGUAUCGGUAGAAUAGAGGCGUAUUAAUGGAUAUUUGGUGCUUGGAAGCGCAUUUUCAGGUUGGACGGAGUUGGUGUGUUUGGAUGGUUGGGUAAUUCGUUAAGUUAGGUUUUGGACUCAACAAAUCAAAUGUCUCGGAGUUUCACAUCUUGGUUUGGUUUAAUAUUUUUUUUCGUAAGAUUUAAUAAAUUAGUUUCAAUUGGAUUGUAAAUAUUUUAUAUGAACUAUGAUAUGAGUUUCCAGUUUUGAGUUAGAUUAGUAUUUUCAUGCAUGGACUUUAGUCAAUUGACUGUUUUCCCUUUUUUAAUAAUCGGUCAAAUAUUUAAGUCUUAAAUUUUUAUGAAA
Molecule: long non-coding RNA, 639 nt
Organism: Gossypium arboreum
Lineage: Eukaryota; Viridiplantae; Streptophyta; Magnoliopsida; Malvales; Malvaceae
Exons: 4
Source: RefSeq, a predicted model, not a curated record